Molecule: non-coding RNA, 364 nt
Organism: Paramisgurnus dabryanus
Lineage: Eukaryota; Metazoa; Chordata; Actinopteri; Cypriniformes; Cobitidae
Source: the annotation of a RefSeq genome assembly
CCGACAGAAAAAAACAAUGUCUCUUAUUCUGAUGCUGGGAACUCUGGGUCUGCUUGCUCAAGUUUCUCAUCAGGAGGUUCAGUCUCCUGAAUCUCUGUCAGUUAAAGUUGGAGAUUCUGCCUCUAUUAGUUGUACUGGGACCAGUGGAGUUGAUGAUGACAUGAGCUGGUAUCUACUGAAACCUGGAGAAGCUCCUAAACUCCUAAUUUAUAAAGCAAAUCAACUUGAAUCUGGAGUACCAGAUCGGCUCAGUGGAAGUCAAUCUGAACUCCUAUUUACACUAAACAUACGUAGAGUUCAGCCUGAGGAUGCAGGAGAUUAUUACUGUAUGGGGGCUUAUCGUGGUCCAGUAUUCACACAGUGA